Molecule: ribosomal RNA, 513 nt
Filed under: uncultured bacterium
Lineage: Bacteria
Description: partial 16S ribosomal RNA
Rfam family: Bacterial small subunit ribosomal RNA
Source: RNAcentral
GAUGAACGCUGGCGGCGUGCCUAAUACAUGCAAGUCGAGCGAACAGAUAAGGAGCUUGCUCCUUUGACGUUAGCGGCGGACGGGUGAGUAACACGUGGGUAACCUACCUAUAAGACUGGGAUAACUUCGGGAAACCGGUGCUAAUACCGGAUAACAUUUGGAACCGCAUGGUUCUAAAGUGAAAGAUGGUUUUGCUAUCUCUUAUAGAUGGACACGCGCCGUAUUAACUUGUUGGUCAGGUACCGGCUUACCAAGGCGACGAUACGUAGCCGACCUGAGAGGGUGAUCGGCCACACUGGAACUGAGACACGGUCCAGACUCCUACGGGAGGCAGCAGUAGGGAAUCUUCCGCAAUGGGCGAAAGCCUGACGGAGCAACGCCGCGUGAGUGAUGAAGGGUUUCGGCUCGUAAAACUCUGUUAUUAGGGAAGAACAAAUGUGUAAGUAACUGUGCACGUCUUGACGGUACCUAAUCAGAAAGCCACGGCUAACUACGUGCCAGCAGCCGCAGUAA